AAGUGUUUGGGGGGGGCCCUCUCAGCGAGGGCCUGUGGAUUGGUUCUCGGGCGACAACAGGUUGAUGGCGCCGAUGCGCACUUCCUAGAUGUGAAAUUGGAAAUAAAGGAUGGGAUUCUCUGCACCUCAGUGUAUGGGAGGCCAAUGUGUGAACCCAUCAUUGUUCCGUCUUGGUCGCCGGACCCGAUCCCGUACAGGCGGGCGGCCUUCCGCUGUUGCUUUGGAGGAGCUGGCCUUUGUAUCAACACGCAGGAGGGGUUGGACAGGGAGUUCCUAUAUAUUUUUAGAAUGGGUCGGCUGUACAGAUAUGCGAGGGUUUUCCU
RNAcentral lists this long non-coding RNA (323 nucleotides) under Androctonus crassicauda. Lineage: Eukaryota; Metazoa; Arthropoda; Arachnida; Scorpiones; Buthidae. The record is from RNAcentral.